ACUCAAGAUGACUCGUGCCGUAAGGUGUUUGGUUAAGUCCCACAACGAGCGCAACCCUCGUGUUUAGUUGCUAUCGUUGAGUUUGGAACCCUGAACAGUUUGCCGGUGAUAAGUCGGAGGAAGGUGAGUAUGACAUCAAGUCAU
RNAcentral lists this ribosomal RNA (144 nucleotides) under Olea europaea subsp. europaea. RNAcentral describes it as "Bacterial small subunit ribosomal RNA". It matches the Rfam family "Bacterial small subunit ribosomal RNA", at positions 1048 to 1193 of the family's 1533-position model. The record is from Rfam by way of RNAcentral. Lineage: Eukaryota; Viridiplantae; Streptophyta; Magnoliopsida; Lamiales; Oleaceae.